This 274-nucleotide ribosomal RNA is filed under the name uncultured bacterium. RNAcentral's name for it is "partial 16S ribosomal RNA". It matches the Rfam family "Archaeal small subunit ribosomal RNA", at positions 473 to 747 of the family's 1478-position model. The record is from RNAcentral.
AAACCAGCACCUCAAGUGGUCAGGAUGAUUAUUGGGCCUAAAGCAUCCGUAGCCUGAUCUGUAAGUUUUCGGUUAAAUCUGUACGCUCAACGUACAGGCUGCCGGGAAUACUGCAGAUCUAGGGAGUGGGAGAGGUAGACGGUACUCGGGAGGAAGUGGUAAAAUGCUUUGAUCUCUCGAUGACCACCUGUGGCGAAGGCGGUCUACCAGAACACGUCCGACGGUGAGGGAUGAAAGCUGGGGGAGCAAACCGGAUUAGAUACCCCAGUAGUCC